CCUACGGGAGGCAGCAGUGGGGAAUAUUGCGCAAUGGGCGAAAGCCUGACGCAGCGACGCCGCGUGAGGGAUGAAGGUCUUCGGAUCGUAAACCUCUGUCAGCAGGGAAGAACGGUCACUGUGCUAACUAGCAGUGAAUUGACGAUACCUGCCAAGGAAGCACCGGCUAACUCCGUGCCAGCAGCCGCUGUAAUACGGAGGGUGCGAGCGUUAAUCGGAAUUACUGGGCGUAAGGCGAUCGUAGUCGGUAGGGCAAGCCAAGGGUGAACUCCCCGCGCUCAACGUGGGAACUGCCUUUGAAACUGGGAGACUGGAGUGUGUGAGAGGUUAGUGGAAUUCCAGGUGUAGGGGUGAAAUGCGUAGAUAUCUGGAGGAACAUCAGUGGCGAAGGCGACUAUCUGGCACAUAACUGACGCUGAGGAGCGAAAGCGUGGGUAGCAAACAGGAUUAGAUACCCCUGUAGUC
Molecule: ribosomal RNA, 465 nt
Filed under: uncultured bacterium
Lineage: Bacteria
Description: partial 16S ribosomal RNA
Rfam family: Bacterial small subunit ribosomal RNA
Source: RNAcentral